Non-coding RNA from Acanthosepion pharaonis, 108 nucleotides. The record is from the annotation of a GenBank genome assembly. Lineage: Eukaryota; Metazoa; Mollusca; Cephalopoda; Sepiida; Sepiidae.
UACGGUCCUAUCACGCUGAAAAACCAGUUCUUGUACGAUCACCGAAGUUAAGCAAAGUCGAGCCUGGUCAGUACUUAGGUUCGUAACCGCUAGAGAAUAUCAGCUGCU